GCUUAAAUUUUCUCAUAGUUAGCUUUUAAAAUCUUCAUUACCAAUAUUUAGUUUUAUAAGACAUAGUAAAACCUUAUAUUACUAAAUGUUUAGAUCAGUUUUUACUUUUUCAAAAGACUUAGAGUAGUAGUUUUGCUUCAUUCCUAUGGCCUAUAAUUGGCAGUGAGCUAUAUUGUCACUUAAAAAUCAGUACUUUUAUCAUCAGUUAUCCUACAUUCUACCAGUGCAAAAUGCAUUCAUUAUUUAAAGCCUUCCUUGUAUAUUAUGAUCAUUUCAAAUUGUAUUUUCCAAAGAGCUUUUAUAAAUCUUUUGCGGAAAUGAUAUAACAUGAAAAAGAUGAGGAAAACUGGGAUGCAAAUUUUAGUUAAAUGUUAGCACUCAUGUUAUUGAAAAAAGUCAUUUAACUUUGUGUGUUACUGUUUCUGCCUUUGAAAUGGUGUCUCUACCUAAUGUAAGCAAGUAGUGGGAUCCAAAAGAAAUACAUUUUCCAUGUUUGUUUCAGUCUCACAAAGUUCUUUUCCAGCUAGCAUUUUCCUUUGAAGAACAGAAGACCCAAAGAGGGAAAACUUACUCUGGGCCCUGUUUAGAGUCUGGAAUAGGGUUAACUCAAGGAAAAGUCAACUGUUGCUUAGAGUCGCCAAUUCUGAGUACUCUCAAGAAUAAUACUUCAAAGAAAGUGUACCAACACUCCUCAAAAUCCAAGCACAAUUCUGUGAAUCCCAAAUCACUGGAUCAAAAGCAAUGUCAACUUCAGAUUAAAACUUAUACCAAACCAGGCAGAACACAAAACUGCCUAAAGAACUCUCCAAACUGAAUAGAAACAUCAAUUAAAAAUUUGAAAAGAUUUGAACAGAUGCUUCCCCAAAGGAGACAUAGUAAUGACAAGUACAUGAAAAGAUAGUUUUAUCAAUCACUUGGGAAAUGCAAAUUAAAAUCACAGUGACAUAGGACUACACACCUACUAGAAUGACCAAAUUUAGUAAUAUUGACUGUGCAAAGCAUUGAUGAAAAUGUGGAGGAAUUCAUGUACUCAUUCACUUCUGAUGGGCAUACAAAAUGAUUAAAACCAUUUUAGAACACAAUUUGACAGC
This is a long non-coding RNA of Heterocephalus glaber (naked mole-rat), 1091 nucleotides long. The record is from Ensembl. NCBI's taxonomy places the organism in Eukaryota, Metazoa, Chordata, Mammalia, Rodentia, Bathyergidae.